Molecule: ribosomal RNA, 253 nt
Filed under: uncultured bacterium
Lineage: Bacteria
Description: partial 16S ribosomal RNA
Rfam family: Bacterial small subunit ribosomal RNA
Source: RNAcentral
UACGUAGGGUGCAAGCGUUAAUCGGAAUUACUGGGCGUAAAGCGUGCGUAGGCGGCUCUGUAAGUCCGUUGUGAAAGUCGAAGGCUCAACCUUCGAAAGCCGAUGGAUACUGCAGGGCUAGAGUCCGGAAGAGGCGAGUGGAAUUCCUGGUGUAGCGGUGGAAUGCGCAGAUAUCAGGAGGAACACCAAUAGCGAAGGCAGGUCUCUGGGCAUUAACUGACGCUGAGGAGCGAAAGCAUGGGGAGCGAACAGG